GAUGAACGCUAGCUACAGGCUUAACACAUGCAAGUCGAGGGGUAACAAGAGGAAAGCUUGCUUUUCUUGUUGACGACCGGCGCACGGGUGAGUAACGCGUAUCCAACCUGCCUAUAACUAGGGAAUAACCUUGAGAAAGUAAGACUACUACCCCAUGACUUCCUUUGAUUACUUCAAAUUCGGAAUACAGAUUUAUCGGUUAUAGAUGGGGAUGCGUCUGAUUAGCUUGUUGGCGGGGUAACGGCCCACCAAGGCAACGAUCAGUAGGGGUUCUGAGAGGAAGGUCCCCCACAUUGGAACUGAGACACGGUCCAAACUCCUACGGGAGGCAGCAGCGAGGAAUAUUGGUCAAUGGGCGGAAGCCUGAACCAGCCAAGUAGCGUGCAGGAUGACGGCCCUAUGGGUUGUAAACUGCUUUUAUACAGGAAUAAAGUUAGCCACGUGUGGUUAUUUGUAGGUACUGUAUGAAUAAGGACCGGCUAAUUCCGUGCCAGCCGCCGCAGUAA
This 506-nucleotide ribosomal RNA is filed under the name uncultured bacterium. RNAcentral's name for it is "partial 16S ribosomal RNA". It matches the Rfam family "Bacterial small subunit ribosomal RNA", at positions 28 to 523 of the family's 1533-position model. The record is from RNAcentral.